UCCUGCCUUUCCCCUUCCCUGGGCUAUCAAACAGCUGUAGGGCAGGGACCCACACGCUGUAGAGGAGAAAGAAAGUGGCAUGAGGACUGCAGGGCUGGGCCCAGCCUCAGCAGAUCCAUGCCCUUUGGGGUCUCUGCCUAUGACUGAGCCAGUCCCCAAGUUGGCCCAGUGAGUCCUGCCUGGUGCCUGGGCUCACACAGGUGGCAAAGAAAUCCCAACUUCCCCCAGCCUUGGGUGGGUAGUACGUUCAUGGAUGGCCACUGGCUCUGGCCCCACCUCCCCCUUGGGCGCCAUCCCUGAUUAAUGAUCUUGUCUUUCUGAUUUAUGAGCAGCCCCUCCAGACGAGGGUGGGCGCCCCUUACGGCCCCGCCCGCCCUGCUCAGCUGGAGUAGGAGAGAAUUAUUAAAUAAACAUCCAUACGUCAUUCCUCCACCCCCCCGCAGCUGGUUGCGCCGAACCCGUACGGCCCGCUCCGGCGCUGACACAGAGCAGCUGCGGUGAUUCAUGGGCAGCCGGGCCCUGCGCCGCGGCCCAUACAUCAUGCCAGCAGCACUCGCAGCCCCGGCCGAGAUAAACUGAUCAACCACAACGGGCUGGAAUGAAUUUAUGACAACACAAAAUGGAGGGAAACAAAUGGGAGGUGACCCUGGGCCACCGACCCGGCCCUGCACCGGCCCGCUAUCCACUCUCCUGGCAGGAGGCAAGAUGGAACACUGGCCCUAGAAUGAAGAGGCUGCCUUUUAACCCCAGGUGCUAACGCGGCUUGGCUGUCACCUUCAAUGCAUCACCCGAGGCUGAGAGCCCCCCUCGUCACUCCUAGCUUGCAGCCUCACAAUUCCAUUUCCCCACCCAAAUACAUCCAUUUUAAUAUGCACAUCACAGGCAGACAGCCUGGUCACAAAGGAGCCUGGCCAGCAGCAGGUUCCACGUGGUGGAACGGAUGACCAGCCACCAGAGUGCCACUGCCUCAGAGCGUCAGCUGCUGUACCUCGGAAGCCACCUUCCAGAAGAGUGGUGGCUCGUAUCCGCUUCUGCCCACACCACUCAUACUCCUCAAAGCGGUUGCUGCUCUCGUGCUCGAUGUCCACAGCGUCCUCCUCAGCCAUGCAGGAGCCUUCCCUCUGUGAAGAGCAGAGCAGGGUCAGGCAGGGCCCAGGCUCCCCCGUCCUGCGCCCCCGACUCUGGGGCUCCUUUAAGGUUAAAGCCAACCUACAGGUCACAGACCUGAGCCUCUUCCCCCAAAUUUUCCGCUGGAGCCCCAGGGGAGAGUGAGUGAGAGUGAAAGCAAAAGAAGAGAGCCAAGAACCGAGAAGCUGCUGAGACCACAUGGAGACCCCAAGAGCCCACAGACUUAGGGGCAGUAAGUGGCUAGAGCCAGGGGGAGGGAGAGAAGGAGGGUGGGUGGUGAUGGCCCCUCUACCUUUGAAAGGCAAUGCUCCACAUGCCUACUCAUCUCCUGCUCCGAUCCUGCCAGGGGGCGGCUGCACAGGGGACAUACCUGCCCUUCAUCUUGCUUCCUCCGUUUCAUUUUCCCAAUCCGAGCUGCAUGAAGAAACCGAAAACAAAGCACAGAACAAGCAGUCACUGCAGCUCCCAGGGUCCCAGUGGAGCCGACACACCCUGACCUGCCGCCAGCCAUCAGCUCUUUUGCUUAGUGUCUGAUCUGGCCCUCUCUGCAGCACCUCCUGCUCCUUUGGGGGCUGGACCUUGCAAGAACACCUGGGGAGGAGACUGGUGCCAGGCCAGGAAGUGUCCAUUCUUGGUAGCAGCUGGCCAUGUUUAACCUAUACUUCCCUAUCUGCAGUGCUCAAUAAAGUCCAUGGGCAGAUACUAUGGAUCUCCCUAAAAGGCUAAGACCAUGGGUUCUUUGGGUAUUAGGAUAUAUAACUAGGAAUUAUCUCUUGGCCAGAAUCCAGGGUUCCUCUAGGAGCCCGAUAUGGGAUCUACUAAUUUCUCAUCAGCUACAAGUUCCAAGACCAAGAGCCUGAAGUACAACCCCUAACAGCUCCUAGAAGACCUAGAAUCAACCCAAGAACUGUUUGGAUGUCAACUGGUCCCAUUUUACAGGAUAGGAGGCUGAGGCCCAGUUAUAAAGGUAUAGAUGGUCUCGAUCAGACAGUGGGCAGCUUGGUCAAAAGAGGCAGGGUGCCUUGAGAGAGCAGCCCUUAUUGUGCCUACCCAAAACUCUUCCAUCAUUUCUCAUCAGCACAGAGGGGCUGGGAAGCCCCAGAGGCAGGGGGCUGCCUGCCAUGCUGUCCCGCAGGGGGCUCAGCUCCAAAGUGCACACUGCAAGCCCACAGCACUGCUAAUUAAUGCUGAGAGAUGCAAUCAUUUCUAAUUAGCUCACUAAUCCCUCUCUGCAGCCCUCCUGUCACUGCAGCAAGAAGGGGUCAAAACAAGGGACUCUGUUCCCUCUAGCCCCUCCCAGGAUGUAACAGAAGGAUCAGAGACAGCUACUGCUGAGUCCAGACUGAUGGAGGGGAGAGAUACAGGAAGAGAUUCCUCAUGGACAAGGACACUGGCUCUGACGGCAAGUUCAUAAAUGCAGUAUGGGACACGAAACUUGGGUGAGAGUUGGUAUGUUACAAUUUAGUUUCUACUAUGUGCUCAGAGCCAAGUACCUUACACAAGGUAGCUCAUUUGCUUCUAUAUCCUGAAGCUGGGUUGUAUUAUGCCAUAUUAACAAAGAAACCUGAAAUUCACAGGGAUCAAGGCAGUUGUCUAAAUAGCAAACAAGUAGCAAAGCUAAGAGCAAAGCCAGCCUUACUCCACAGCUUAGAAUGCUCUCUUGUUCCAAGAGUCCUCUGCCUGAGCAGCAUCAGCAAAGACUGACCCCAGGGGCCAACGUUGUGGUAUAAUGGGUGAAGCCACCGCUUGUGAUGCCAGCAUUCCAUAUGGGUACUGGAUUGAGUUGUGGACGCUCCACUUCUGAUCCUGCUCCCUGCUAAUGCGCUUGGGAAAGCAGUGGAUGAUGGGCCUAAGUGCUUGGGCCCCUGCACCCAUCAGGAGAUCCAGAUAAAGCUCCAGGUGCCUGGCCUUGGUCUGGCCCAGCCGUGGCUGCUGUGGCACUUCGGAAGUGAACCAGUGGAUGCAAGAUCAGGCUCUCUUUUGCUCUGCCUCUCCCUCUCUGUAAUUCCGCCUUUCCAAUAAAUAAAUCUUAAAAACAAAAAACAAAAAAAC
Molecule: non-coding RNA, 3180 nt
Organism: Oryctolagus cuniculus (rabbit)
Lineage: Eukaryota; Metazoa; Chordata; Mammalia; Lagomorpha; Leporidae
Source: RefSeq, a predicted model, not a curated record